CCUACGGGAGGCAGCAGUGGGGAAUAUUGGGCAAUGGAGGAAACUCUGACCCAGCAAUGCCGCGUGAAUGAAGAAGGUCUUCGGAUUGUAAAGCUCUUUAGUCAGGGAAGAAUAAAUUGACGGUACCUGAAGAAUAAGCACUGGCUAACUACGUGCCAGCAGCCGCGGUAAUACGUAGGGAGCAAGCGUUGUUCGGAAUGACUGGGCGUAAAGGGUGCGUAGGCGGUUAUACCAGUUAGAAGUGAAAUACCCCGGGCUUAACUCGGGUGCCGCUUCUAAAACUGUAAGACUUGAGUGCAGUAGAGGUUAGUGGAAUUCCUAGUGUAGCGGUGGAAUGCAUAGAUAUUAGGAGGAACACCAGAGGCGAAGGCGGCUAACUGGACUGCAACUGACGCUGAGGCACGAAAGUGUGGGGAGCAAACAGGAUUAGAUACCCGUGUAGUC
Molecule: ribosomal RNA, 444 nt
Filed under: uncultured bacterium
Lineage: Bacteria
Description: partial 16S ribosomal RNA
Rfam family: Bacterial small subunit ribosomal RNA
Source: RNAcentral